Molecule: long non-coding RNA, 3068 nt
Organism: Prionailurus viverrinus (fishing cat)
Lineage: Eukaryota; Metazoa; Chordata; Mammalia; Carnivora; Felidae
Exons: 3
Source: RefSeq, a predicted model, not a curated record
GCGUGGGUGAGGGUGGGCCCUCAGUUCAGCCACCAGUGUCCCUCUAAGAAGAGGGGAACUGGGCGCAGACAUGAGGGAGAAGGCCGUGCGAAGGCGGAGGCGGGGACCGGGUGACACAUCUCCAAGCCAACGAGGGCCAAGGAUUGCCAGCAAAUACCAGAAGCUGGGAGAGGCCUGGAUUCGCCCUCAGAGCCACCAGAACCAACCCUGCAGGCGGCCGCCUGGAUUUCUGGCCUCCGGAACUGAGCGAGCGUACAUUUCUGAGACUUGUAAUCCCCCAGCUUGUGGUGCUAGGCCUCGAACGCCUUUUUAGUGUGUGUGUGGGGGGGGAGGAUGGAUCUAUGGAAAUGAAAUCAAAUCCCAGCUUUUAGGGGAAAUGAUUUAGACUGCGCAGCUGGCCGCUGGGGUUGAUAGUUUUGACUCUCACCCCGCGGUUGUAAACGGCGAUCAGCGGGCUUUUUGCUACUGAUUACGCAACAGUCCCAGUCGGGAGGAGGGGGAGGCUAAGAUCCCGUCAACGCAGCCUCCAGCCCCUCGCGCUUCGGCUGCUCCAGGAGCCCCGAUGAUGGAAAACUCUGUUGUUGUUUUCUUUUGAAUCGCAGUGGGCUGGAUUGCUCACCGUCUCUUAGAGGGUGUCUCAAGAGGAGACCAACACGUUGCCUCACAGAGUCCUUAGGAGCCCCGCGCAGAGCCUCAUCUUGUGAAUUCUCUUACCCUGCCAUAACCCACAUCUCCCAGGAAGCCUUCCAGGGUUGCCCCAACCCUGUGCCUCCUCUGUCCUGUGCUCUCAGUGCCCUGAAUCCGUAUCUUGACUCCCAGUCCCCACUCUGUGUGGGGCAGAAUGGGUACAUGAAUGCCUCAAGCUUUCUGGACGGCGCUUUGUCCCCUUUCUCUCAAAGAUAAAUAUGCUCACACUCCCUGGCUGGGCACUCCCGUUCCUGGAAACUGUCCUCCAGAGAUGCUACCCAGAGUGCUUCAAGAUGAAUGGACCAGAAUGUUCGUUCCAGCACUGACUGGAAGCACACAGCACUACAGUGAGUAAUUUGGGCUUUGGAAGUCACGGCUACUCAGAUUUGCUAUCGUCCUGCAAAAGCAGCCAGGGGCAAUACGUGAGUGAGUGAGCAAGCCAGCCGCUGUGUUCCAAUAAAACUUUAUUCACAAAAGCGGACGGUGGGCCGGAGCUGGAGCCUGCGGCCCCCAGCACGGAAACAGAAAAGGGUCCUCACGGUCGGAGGAGGAGGAGGAGGCUGAGGGGCUGCCCACUCACCCCGGACGGGGGGCAAACCCAGGUUCUUUGCCGUCGCACGCGGCCCUUCCCAGGAUCGGAAUGGAUUCCAAAGACUGAUUUCAUGUCAGUUCAGUUUCGCGCGGCCUGACCCCGAAGAGUGGAGGGUCACCGGUAGCUGGAGACACUGGGAGAGCCGGGGCUGGCCAUCCAGCUGGAGGAGCUUCUCCGACGACGGCCUGCCUGCUUCCUCAGCUCCGGGGCUCCUGCACACGCAGCCCCGUGGCCCCCACGCACCCCUGCCUCUGCACCUGCUGUCUUUCUCCGAGAAGCUCGCAAGCGUGGUUGCUAAGGUCAGCUCAGAGAUCUAGCGCUCUCACUUCCCAAGAAAGAUGACAAAGGGGAAUCACGCGACGUUCUUUCGGCAAGUUGUGAGGUUGUGGUGGGCGGAGAGGAGAACGGUGGCCGUGCUCACCCCGAGCCGUGCGGCCCUGCCCCGGAGUGGGACGGCGAAUGAACAGACACGGCCACGCAGGGAAUUUGUCCCCUCUGGCCGGAAGGGCCCGAUGCGCUGGAGGUGCGGCCGCUGACCCCGCGUCGUGCCUUCGGCAGCCCUGUGAGUUAGGAUAAGAGUCCCAUUUUGCAGAUGGAGGCACAUGAGGCUCCAAGCAACUUUUCGAGAAACGAUACCUUUAAAAUGGCCGAAGGCUGAGGGGCGCCUGGGUGGCUCAGUCGGUUAAGCGUCCAACUUGGGCUCCAGUUAUGGUCUCACAGUUCGUGAGAGCCUGCGUCGGGCUCUGGGCUGACAGUGGGGAGCUUGCUUGGGAUUCUCUCUCUCCCUCUCCGUCUCUCUGCCCUUCCCCUGCAUGCUCUCUCUCCCUAAAUAAAUAAAUAAGCUUUAAAAUAAAAUACAACAACGGAGUACAAUGAAACUGCUGGAGGCUGGAGCUGACCCAAUCCACGGCCCCCACGUUUCACCACCUUGAGCCCCAAGCCCUGCGAGACCCUGUCCGGCAUCACGUUACGUCAACCUCAGGAAGGUGCUUUUGCGGUUUCGUCAGACUCAGGCAGUGACACUGGUCGAUGUUUCCAGGUUAUAUUCUGGGGCGGGGGCUUUGGCAAAGCUCCCAGGUGACAGGAGCCAAGUCUGCCCGUCCCCGUCGCCUUCUUCUUCCUCUCCUGGUGCCUUUGCCCGCGUCCACGUGCGUGUUACACCAGCCGUGACUUAAGGUGUAUGUGUGUGGGUCACCACCCCACGGGCGGGCCUGAUUCAGCGCCACCGAGAGACAGCACUGAAGCUGCCCACGCCCGCCGGGCCAUGAGGAAGACCAGAGAGGGCCUCUCCCCGGUCCCGACUCACACCCGACGUGCCGGGAAGGGCCACUCCGGAGGGGGGCUGAUGGCGGAAGGCUCACCGUCACCUGUGCCCACCCAGCCCGCCAUUGCUGUCUCUUGAAUGGCCACCCUCUGAGAGCAAUGGACCCGGUGCCGCAAUGCCCGUCCCAACCAGGCAGCGUGGACGGCAGCCCCCGACGCGGAGCGAUCACUGCACCCGCGCUCGGCUCUCGUCCGCUGCGCAGAAUGAACGUGUCUAGCACCUGCUUCUCUCGUCUCCACUCUGCCACGUGGGCGCUGGGUGGAACAGCAUCCGCCCAGAACUCCUGUCCAUCCAGAACCCAGGGACAUGUCCUUGAUUGGAAAGUAGGGUGCUUGCAGAGGUAAGCAGUUAAAUUCACACGAGGUCAUAGAGCAUCAAGGUCGGCCCUAACUCCAAUAUGGCUGGUUUCCUUAUAAAAAGAGGAGAGAGGGGUGCCUGGGUGGCUCAGGUGGAUAAGCGUCCGAC